RNAcentral lists this ribosomal RNA (447 nucleotides) under uncultured bacterium. Its description in RNAcentral is "bacterial SSU rRNA". It matches the Rfam family "Bacterial small subunit ribosomal RNA", at positions 29 to 524 of the family's 1533-position model. The record is from RNAcentral.
AACGAACGCUGGCGGCAGGCUUAACACAUGCAAGUCGAGCGCCCCGCAAGGGGAGCAGCAGACGGGUGAGUAACGCGUGGGAAUCUACCCAGCUCUACGGAAUAACUCAGGGAAACUUGUGCUAAUACCGUAUACGUCCGAUAGGAGAAAGAUUUAUCGGAGUUGGAUGAGCCCGCGUUGGAUUAGCUAGUUGGUGGGGUAAUGGCCUACCAAGGCGACGAUCCAUAGCUGGUCUGAGAGGAUGAUCAGCCACACUGGGACUGAGACACGGCCCAGACUCCUACGGGAGGCAGCAGUGGGGAAUAUUGGACAAUGGCGCAAGCCUGAUCCAGCCAUGCCGCGUGAGUGAUGAAGGCCCUAGGGUUGUAAAGCUCUUUCACCGGUGAAGAUAAUGACGGUAACCGGAGAAGAAGCCCCGGCUAACUUCGUGCCAGCAGCCGCGGUAAU